Molecule: long non-coding RNA, 2003 nt
Organism: Felis catus (domestic cat)
Lineage: Eukaryota; Metazoa; Chordata; Mammalia; Carnivora; Felidae
Exons: 7
Source: RefSeq, a predicted model, not a curated record
GGUGACUUAAAAUGAAAUAAAUGUUCAACAAGAUCCUCAUCCGUGAUCCCAGGUGACCUAUGACAAUAGAACUCCUGUUCUUUUUUUUUUUUUAAGAUUUUGUUUUUAAGCGAUCUCUUCACCCAGCCUGAGGCCCGAACCCACAACCCCGAGAUCAAUAAUCACUCGCUCCACCGGCUCCACCCGCCAGGCGCCCUGAACACCCCCGUCCUUUCGAUGGACCAGUGGCCUUCAGGAGUUCAAGCAGCUGAUUGGUCGGAGAAAAUGGGAGUCACAAAACAGUAGGUCCCACCCAGCAGAGCGAGGAGGGCCUGUCCCCUGGGCCACUAAUGCCCCAGACCUGGAAACCCGCAGUGCAGAGGGCAACAGGCUGACUGCCAUCGGGCGGUCUCACGUCCCGCCCACGGGUGUCUAUGGCGCACGUUCGACAGAGAGGCAGAGGACGGGGCCACCGCUCCGUGGAUGUGUGAAAAGUGAUGCAUUCACCUGCUGGGUUUCGGAAGGAUCUCCUCCAUCAAGGCAGACAGACGGGCGCAGCACGGGAGAAGCCGGAGGCUGGUCCCAUCGUCCAAAACAGCAGAGGGUCCAAACUAACACAGUGACUACCGGGAGUGACCCAAGGAGGCAGACAAGAAGAUGGGGUCUUGGGGCUGGAUGAUGCACGCCCAGGCUGGCACGGAGGACCCCAUCUCCAGGGACGUGUGGACGCAGGACUGGCUCCAGGUGGCUGCCUAACUGUCUUAAGAGAUCUGAAGAACGUGGGCGUCCCAUGGAACACCACCCUGGUCCAUUACGUUGAUGACACCAUGCUGAUCAGACAAACAGAUGAUCAAAACGGAUCAAAGAGGAUGAACAAAACGGGAGUGCCCACCAGAGAGCGUCCACCGUGGAAGAGGUGGCCAGCAACCAGCUAGACAAAACGACUGGGCCAGUUGGUUCUAGCCAGCCUUCGUCAUCGGCCACCUCAAAACUGGCACAUGGGUGAUGGAAUGGAGCGGCGGAGGCUCUUCAUGGACCCAUCUGCCUGGACUCCCACUGACCAUGGCCGGUCUCGUCGUGGCCACCUCUGAAUGUCCAACCCGCGUCAACAGAGCUCAGCACUAAGUGUAGGGACGGACCCUCUUCCUUGAGGAGACCAACAGGACACAGUGGCAAAGUGACACCAAGCACAGCUAAUAAAGUUUGGUUUCCCCACCACGCGGAUGGGUCUGGCCAGCGAGAGGUGGUCCCUGAGUGAAAAGGCAAGGCUCAGUGGGAAAGUGCCUCUUUGUGGUCCCCUCAGCCCUUCCCCUGGGCCUCACCCCUCUCUUCACGCAAGGAUUACAGAAAAGCAGCCUGGGGGGUUGAGAAGCCAGCUCGGGACCUUGAGGCACCAACCACAUAACUUGGUGGAAAUAGCUGUAGCCCCUGGUUAUGUCUCUGAGCCCCCAGACCAGCCCGGACCUGCCUACUCCGCGGGGCCAUCCAUACAUAAAUCCAAACUCUGCUUCAGCCGCUAUGGGAGUCUUAGAGGCUGAACUCCGUCCCCUGAAACAACAUGUAUUGUGGUCCUAACUCCCAGUAUCUCAGAAUGUGACAUUCCGAGACAGGGUCUUUACAGAGGUCAAGUUAAAAUGAGGUCAUCAGGGUGGGCCCUAGUCCAGUAUGACUGGUGUCCUUAUAAAAGGGGGAAAUUUGAGUGCAGAGACACACGGAGAGGGAAGACGAUGACAAGAACCUCGGGAGAAGACAGCCGUCCAUCUGCGAGGACAGAGGCCCGGAACGGGUCCUCCCUCCCAGCCGUCAGAAGGAACCGGACCUGACUUCUCGCCUCCAGAAUCGGGAGACGGCACGUUCCUGUUAUCUUAGCUGUCGUCAGAAAACUUUCAGGCCAAUUUUCAGAAGCUACAGUUCCACGCUUCUUAAAAAUCUUCAGCCUUCGACUGCGUAAAUCAAUGCUCAGAAACACAAGAUUUGUAUUAAAAAAAAAAAAAAGCACGCUGGGGCACCUGCGUGGCUCAGUC